RNAcentral lists this ribosomal RNA (398 nucleotides) under uncultured bacterium. Its description in RNAcentral is "bacterial SSU rRNA". It matches the Rfam family "Bacterial small subunit ribosomal RNA", at positions 28 to 431 of the family's 1533-position model. The record is from RNAcentral.
GACGAACGCUGGCGGCGUGCUUAACACAUGCAAGUCGAGCGGUAAGGCCCUUUCGGGGGUACACGAGCGGCGAACGGGUGAGUAACACGUGGGUGACCUGCCCUCAGCUCUGGGAUAAGCCCGGGAAACUGGGUCUAAUACCGGAUAUGACUCCAUGACGCAUGUUGUGGGGUGGAAAGCCUUGUGCGGCUGAGGAUGGGCCCGCGGCCUAUCAGCUUGUUGGUGGGGUGAUGGCCACCAAGGCGACGACGGGUAGCCGGCCUGAGAGGGCGACCGGCCACACUGGGACUGAGAUACGGCCCAGACUCCUACGGGAGGCAGCAGUGGGGAAUCUUGCGCAAUGGGCGAAAGCCUGACGCAGCGACGCCGCGUGAGGGAUGACGGCCUGGUUGUAACGU